GGCCUUUUGCAUGACUACAAAGGGUGUGUAAAUUAAUUCCACAGCAAAUGUUAUUGUUGUACCUUAAAAAUAACUCGUGGAUUAUUUUUUAACUGCAGAAGCUGGCAAAGGACGAUGCCACAGCAAUGAGUCAACUUUCCAGUGAAGCAGCUUCAUCCACGGGAACAUCACAGCAUCAAGAUGAGCCAGCAGGUCUCUCUCAAGCCGCAAUGGACAUUGGCAUCUCUGAGGGCUCGUCUGAUGUGCUAGCAGAGGGUGCUGCUACAUCUGCUAGCUCGUCCUUCACUGAUUCAGACAUCGCUGAUGAGCCUUCCGAAACCCAAGAUGUCCUGUCUCCUAGUCCAAGGCCUACCAGCACACUCAAGGGUGAAGCUUCUGCAGCACUGCCUACGCACAACCUAGCGAUACCUCGAACAGCAAGGCAUAUUAUGGUGAGGAUAAUACUCGACCACUGCAAUUUUUACAUACUUGUUUCCUUAGGUAACUGCAAGUGAAGUAGCAUUUAUUUUCAUGGCAGCUGUUUAAUAGCUGAAGCAUAAUAAAUUUCACUCGGUGAACUGCACAUGGACACUAACAUUUAUGAUAAUGGCAGCCAUGUAAUUAAAAGCUGAAACAUAUUCAUAUUCGCCCAUAGCGGUACGAGUUUCCUCAGGGUUUGCAUUAAACACCAAUUGGCGGCCAAUAAUCAUUCUUCAAUUUCUCUUUUCCAUUCAAAUGACACAAUGGACUAGAAGAUCAACAGGUUUCUCACAAUUUUCUACGCUCUUUAUUUGUUCGAUCGAUCAUGAUGAGCCGUGAUACAGGCAGACAAAAGUGGUCUUUUGUGUAGGAGUACGAGCUCAGUAUAUUUUGCCCACUCAAACUAAAAGGCUUCUGUGAAGCAUCUCGUGUUGAACUAUGCUACAUUGGCCUCUUCUGUGUUAGUUGUUUUGUACUUUUACCUUUCCUGCCUGGGCCCAGAUGGGCCUGCAGUAUUUUGCAAAUAAAUAAACAAAAUUUUGAGACACUAGCAAGCUCGCAUGGAUGGCAGUUUUACGCCCUCACAGUUUUUUGGUUCACAAAAGUGUAAAUGGAAAGUCGUGAGCAAGGUAAUGACCUAAAAUUUAGCCUUAUAUUUUUCAUAGCUUGCACAAGAAUGUAUGCCACAACAAUUAAGUACUUUGUUCUGGGUACGUGAUUUGUGUCAUGUUGGUUGCCCAUGCACCUGUUUUUUGUGCGUGUGAUAUUUCGCAGCCACAGCCAGCAGAAGACGGCGCCUGAAAAGGCCUUUCUGAGGCAUGAAGUAAGAUGCUCCUCACAAUUGCAAACUGCGACCAAGAAGAAGAUCAAGACUCUGCAGCAAUCCCGUCACCGGCUUUUGCAAAAGGUUGCUCAUCUCCAAGAUGUCAUAGAAGAUUUAUCUGACAAUCACAUUCUAGGAAAUGAGGAUGUCGCCACUUUGCAGAGUCUUGGUGGGGCAAAAAAAGACUUGCUCAUGCGUCAACUGCCACACAAGUCUGGUGCAGCAGUGUCACCCGCUUACUCGCUAGAGCUCGGGGCAUUUGCACUAACUUUACAUUUCAAUUCCCCUAGAGAAUACCGAUAUGUACGAGCUGUUUUCGACACAUGCCUCCUGUAUCCAAAGACAUUGUGUAAAUGGUAUCAAUCCAUUGAUGGGGCUGCUGGCUUUUCAAAAGAGGCAAUGACUGCUUUGGCUAUGAAGGUAAAGCACGGCCACUCCACAUUAUGCAGUCUGGUUGUGGAUGAGAUGGCUAUUCGGAGACAUGUGGAGUGGGACGGAAAAGGUUCCAUGGAUAUGUUAACACGGGCAUUGAUGUCACUAGUGACAGCUUUCCAGUUGCCAAAGAUGCAUUUGUUUUCUUGCUUGUUGCAAUCAAUGGUAGAUCGAAGCUGCCCAUUGGUUACUUUCUAGUGGAUGGCCUUGGUGGUGAGCAGAGGUGCAAUUUGGUGCUGCAAGCUGCUAACUUUGCUCACGAAAAAGGUGCACACAUUGCGAAUUUGACCUGCGAUGGCGCUGCAGCGAAUUUGUCAUUGUUGUGCAGCCUUGGCUGCAAGAUGGACCUGAUUGAACUGGAUGCUUCUUUUCUGCAUCCAGUGACAAGAAAAGCCUCUCUUUGCCAUGUUGGAUCCCUGUCACAUGUUGAAGCUGCUGCUGCACACCCUGUGUGAUAAAAAGGCUAUUGUCGAUAUGAACAAACAGUUCAUAUUGUGGAAACACAUUGAUGAGCUGCGUGAAAUCCAGUACACAGAAGGCCUACAUUUGGCAAGCAAACUUAGACAGGCACAUAUUAAUUGGAAAAACUGGCCCAUGAAAGUCCCAUUGUUGGCUCAAACGUUUAGUCAAUCGGCAGCAGAUGCUCUUAGUGAAUGCAGAGCUCGAAAAAUUCCAAAAUUUUCAAAUUCCUUGGCAACAGAAGAGUUUAUCAGACAUGUCAACAAAGCAUUCGACAUUUUAAAUUCAAGACAUCCAAGGCAAGAAGGAUAGAAAAGGCCGCUGUGUCCUGAAAAUGUGACUCCUGUCACUGCGUAUGUCGAAGAACUGAAGGCCUACUUAUGCUCACUGAGGGAGUCUGCAGCUGGUAAACUAAUGACAGAGACCAACCAAAAGACAGGCUUCAUUGCCUUUGUGGUGUGCUUAGACAACGCCAUCCGCCUAUACAACCACUUGGUUACAGAAAAUGGCCUAUUGGAACAUCUUCCAACUUCCAAGCUCAGUCAGGACCACCUUGGGCUAUUUUUUGCUGCAAUAAGAUCACUUGGGCGCUGUAAUGACAACCCAACAGCAAAGCAGUUUGCAGCAGCAUUGAAGCGUCUGAUAGUUCGCAAUGAGGUCAAGGACAUUGAUGGCGGAAAUUGCUUUCUAUUGGAACACAUCGAAAGUCUCUUCAUAAGAUCCUCUGAAAAACCAUCCUCCAUUGAUGUACAAUUAACUUCACUGCCCCUAAGAGAAGCCCUGGAGCCAGUGAACCACUCACGGAAGCAAUUUUAGAAAAUCGUGGCUAAUCUGCCGACCCAGGCAGGGUGUCCGAGAUUGGGUGUCGGUGACUCGCAGUACAGGAAAAACUGCUACACAAGUUUCCUCGUGGGUAAAUUAUGUUCAUGAUGGCUCACACAAUCAAUUCCUUUAUCCAUCAACUUCGGAUGUCCCAGCAGGUUCUGUUAAGGCAUUUGUUUUUUGAGUGACUUUGUAAAACGCAUAUAUUGUUCAAGAGCGUUGUAUGCAGACAUCAAACAUUUAUAGGGGGAAAAUGUGAUAGUUUAUUGUAAAUUAUGCAAGUACAUGUUUGUUGUCUUGCUGAAUGCUGUAGCUUGAAUCACCUGCAUGCGAAUUCUACUGAAACAAUUGUUCUGUUCAGCACCAAGCUAAGCAGUAUGGACAGUGACGGUAGCUUAGCUGGCCUACCUAUCACUAGACCAAACUGUGUGAUGACAUGGACAUGCUGUGAAUGCUCUCAGUGCAUUAUGGGUGAGCUAAGUAUACUCUCGAGAAUGACAAUGUAUUUUUCAGUUUGAUCCUGUAUGUCUUUUACCUGACCUUUGUGGAAAUUUGCCUCUGUCACCUGGAAUACCGUUGGUUUUAUUAUUUCCAAAAUAAUUUAAUGUGCUCACUUUGUUUACUUGCUUUACAAUGGCCUUUUAAGAUGCCAGAUUCACUGUAACUAUGAACAUUUGGUGCAUACCACUGAAUGAGUUUUAAAUACCGCGACAUAUACAUUUAUUUGAGGUUCACAGUGUAAUAGAGACGUCGCCUCUUAAUUUUGCGGUGUGUUGGCUCAGCUUGGACAGUGCUAAUAUGUUUCUAGGUGUGUGAUACAACAUAAGGUUUUUUGUACAUUUUACUUGCAGCAAAAUGCGUAAUGUUGACAUACUUAGUUUGUGGGUCUGACCUCACAUCAAUUCUUUCAACUUUGACUUUGUGAACUACUACUCUUUUUUUUUCGAUUUCUGCAUAUGUAUUGCUUAUUUUUCUAACAAGCAUCAUCACUGAAGCCUCUUGCUAUUUGUGAGUACAGCGCAGACAUAAAUAUUAUACAAUUAUAGCCCUGUAACGAAAACGUUGCAUACAAGCAAAACUGCAGCUACAUUCAAGGAUAGCUGAUCCCAUUAACCAGUUUUAUUAAAGGUAUCAAUACUAUGUGUCAGUGGCGCACCGACGGGGGGGGGAUUCGGGGGUUGUAACCCCCCCCUGAGGCCGACUUAAUCCCCCCCCCCCUUUUGUUUAACCCCUUUUCUUUCCUUACGCAUUUGAGUGCUGCAACUAAGAUGUAAGAUGCGCAAGCGUCUGCACACUCGCAAAAAGCGCAUUUUUUUACAAUUUCCCGUGAAUAAAUCGAAAUUAGUGCUGUUUAGAUGGUAUUGGCAAACUGUCAACCCCCCCUGGCAGAGAUCCUGGGUGCGCUACUGCUAUGUGUGAUAUAGUUUACAUUGUAUAACAUUAUUAUACAAACGCCCUGUGGCAUACAGGUAUGCUGACAAUGAUAUAGAGCAGUGGCACAAUAAAUUUUCCUACUUGCUGUUUAUAAUUUUCUUUUGUGUAUACUCUUUACAACGUACUUCAUUCAUAUUAUAAAUGUGGCUUCCUUCGGUGUGUGAAAUCUUCUGGCUUCUAUAGGUGCAAUAAACAUUGAAUAAAGAAUGAAACAAUUACUGUUGUCAUAAAAAUGUGCUUUCCAUAGUACAAGUACACCAGCUACAGAAUGUAUCCACAAGUGCAAAUGAAUACUGACAUUUUUUCCCUUGCCGCUAUGUAUUGUUUUCAUGCCGUUACCUAGCAGGUUCACACUAGGAGUGGAAGGGUCCCCCUUGCAGUGCUUGACUCUAGGACAUAAUCCUGCUGUGGAGCUAUACUCACAUUCGAAAACAGCUGAAUAAACUCUACAUAAUGCACAAAUUCCGUCCAUUUGCUUUAUUAUUAUAUAAUGCAAAUGGAGCCCCGAGGCGCGUCUCAACAGCGUCAUCACAUCACACAAUCUUACAAAACAGUGCACGUAAAUCUGAAUAAACGGCGAUGACUUCGGCGUUUAGAAUGCAGGCUAAUGCUAUUUAUUUCUCUCAAAACAAAAGAUGCACAG
Molecule: long non-coding RNA, 5072 nt
Organism: Dermacentor silvarum
Lineage: Eukaryota; Metazoa; Arthropoda; Arachnida; Ixodida; Ixodidae
Exons: 3
Source: RefSeq, a predicted model, not a curated record